Molecule: long non-coding RNA, 903 nt
Filed under: Sus scrofa (pig)
Lineage: Eukaryota; Metazoa; Chordata; Mammalia; Artiodactyla; Suidae
Description: lncRNA (ENSSSCG00070017239.1)
Source: RNAcentral
AUGGCUGCAGUGUGUCAGUGUGGUGGUAUGUGUGUGGGGCUGACUGAGCCUGUCCCUGUGCUCCUUCUCUCCAGAGUCCUCCGCAUCCUCCUCCUCCUUUCUCACCCCGAGCAUCUUCCUUGUCUGCUGGACACCUGUGCCAAGGAACCUACCUCAAUCCAGCUCACCAACGCCUUUGAUCCUGCUUUCAUACUUCUCUGUCUCUCAGAAAAAUUAAGAGCCUUACGGAGGGGGCAAGCGUUUUCCCUCUCAAAGCCUCCCGCAGCCCUCACUGCUCCCUGUCAGCACUGCUUGAAGUCAAUCACCAGGAAAAACUCCAACUCAGGUGAGCAACUUUCAAUGAUUCUAACACCACCAAGCCUCAGGUGCUCCUUCACAGCCUCUUAUUUUAGGCCACCUGGCUUUAGGUUAAGAUUAACCCCUCAGGGGUACAUGAAAGGACCGAGGGAUGCUGAUGGGUGUGAAAAGAGGAAGUUUCCAGAGAUCCCUUAAGAGACCCGUCAUAGGUUUGAAGACAGGUUUGAAGUUCUGUAGUUUGAUAUAUGUGACAAAUUCCAACUAAAGAACACCUGAGGCAUUUCAGUGUUCUCUUGAGUAGAGUUAAAGGGCAGGAUUCAAGUUAGUUAUAUUUUAGUUAUUUUUCAUAGUCAUUAAAUAACAUGAAUAUAACUUGUUUUACUACGCUUUUAAAAACAUUGUCAUCUCUGAGUUUCCAUUGUGCCUCAGUGGGUUAAGAACAGGACAUAGUAUCCAUGAGGAUGCAGGUUCAAUCCCUGACCUCACACAGUGGGUUAAGCAUCUGGUAUUGCUGCAAGCUGCAAUAUACAUUGCAAAUGCAUCUUGGAUGCAGCGUUGCUGUGGCUGUGGCCAAGCUAGCAGCUGCAGCUUGCAUUCAGCCCGUAG